AACAUCGCGCACCUGCGGGAACCUGCGGAAGGAUCAUUAAUGAUUGGUGGCUGUUGCUGACUAGUGUUUCUAGUAUGUGCACGCCACACCUUCAAUCCCACUUACACCCGUGCACCUUCUGUAAUAGAUCUAUGUGGAUACGGAGAUAUGAAAGUUUGCGCUCUCGUACUCUGUUGAAGCAGUCUACUACGUUUUUUUACACACACACAAUAGUCAUUGAAUGUAUUUUUUAUUCUUAUG
RNAcentral lists this unclassified non-coding RNA (240 nucleotides) under soil metagenome. Its description in RNAcentral is "partial contains 5.8S ribosomal RNA, internal transcribed spacer 2, and large subunit ribosomal RNA". The record is from RNAcentral.